UGGGGAAUUUUGGACAAUGGGCGAAAGCCUGAUCCAGCAAUGCCGCGUGUGUGAAGAAGGCCUUCGGGUUGUAAAGCACUUUUGUCCGGAAAGAAAUCCUUGGCUCUAAUACAGUCGGGGGAUGACGGUACCGGAAGAAUAAGCACCGGCUAACUACGUGCCAGCAGCCGCGGUAAUACGUAGGGUGCAAGCGUUAAUCGGAAUUACUGGGCGUAAAGCGUGCGCAGGCGGUUUGCUAAGACCGAUGUGAAAUCCCCGGGCUCAACCUGGGAACUGCAUUGGUGACUGGCAGGCUAGAGUAUGGCAGAGGGGGGUAGAAUUCCACGUGUAGCAGUGAAAUGCGUAGAGAUGUGGAGGAAUACCGAUGGCGAAGGCAGCCCCCUGGGCCAAUACUGACGCUCAUGCACGAAAGCGUGGGGAGCAAACAGGAUUAGAUACCCUGGUAGUCCACGCCCUAAAACGAUGUCAACUAGUUGUUGGGGAUUCAUUUCCUUAGUAACGUAGCUAACGCGUGAAGUUGACCGCCUGGGGAGUACGGUCGCGAGAUUAAAACUCAAAUGAAUUGACGGGGUCAUAGCUGUUUCCU
This 586-nucleotide ribosomal RNA is filed under the name uncultured bacterium. RNAcentral's name for it is "partial 16S ribosomal RNA". It matches the Rfam family "Bacterial small subunit ribosomal RNA", at positions 355 to 1375 of the family's 1533-position model. The record is from RNAcentral.